AAACUUGAGCUAAUACCAUAUAAUGUCUUCGGACCAAAGAUUUAUCGCCCUGGAGAUAAGCCCGCGUAGGAUUAGCUAGUUGGUGGGGUAAAGGCUCACCAAGGCGACGAUCCUUAGCUGGUCUGAGAGGAUGAUCAGCCACACUGGGACUGAGACACGGCCCAGACUCCUACGGGAGGCAGCAGUGGGGGAAUAUUGGACAAUGGGCGAAAGCCUGAUCCAGCAAUGCCGCGUGAGUGAUGAAGGCCUUCGGGUUGUAAAGCUCUUUUACUCGGGACGAUAAUGACGGUACCGAGAGAAUAAGCCCCGGCUAACUCCGUG
Molecule: ribosomal RNA, 321 nt
Filed under: uncultured bacterium
Lineage: Bacteria
Description: bacterial SSU rRNA
Rfam family: Bacterial small subunit ribosomal RNA
Source: RNAcentral